RNAcentral lists this long non-coding RNA (30639 nucleotides) under Triticum aestivum (bread wheat). RNAcentral describes it as "long non-coding RNA (TAES_LNC024855)". The record is from RNAcentral. Lineage: Eukaryota; Viridiplantae; Streptophyta; Magnoliopsida; Poales; Poaceae.
CAGAAUCAAGAUUUGGAUGAUGCACUCACAUGGAGUUAUGGAAUGGGAUGCAACUUGGCAAAUCCUCAUGAGAUGGACAUAUAAAGAUGCUGUAAAAAGCUCAUACCAAAUGGACAAUCCAAAAUGGUACUUGCUCUACAAACAUCAUUUCUGUCCAGAAACUUGGAAAAAUUCUAGAGGAAUAAUGGCUUAAUGAACCAUGCCCAAAAUGGGUGGAGGUAAGUUAUAUGGAUAAUAGACGGUCUAAAAAAAUUGACAGUCAUAAUGGAGCAAGAUAAAAUAUACUUGCUUCACAAACUGAAAGUUUGGACAGAAUCAAAGAAUUGAAGAUGAGCUCACAUGGAGGCAGGAAAUGAGCUCUACUCUGGUGGAGGGCUAUGAUAUGAUGAUAUGAGAGACCAUGCUAAAUGGAAACUCAUUUGGAUAUGCCUAGCUUGCACCUCCUUCACAAAGCUUCUUUCUGGAUAGAAACUUUGGAAAAUCAUAAUUAAAUAAUUACUAGGCAAAUGAGGUUGCAUUUUGGCAUGUGGAAAUUAUAUGGACAGGAAAAGGUGUCCAAGGAGUUUGAGGUCAAUUGGGAAAAGGAAAAUAGCACUUGCUUCACAAUGUGCCAUUUAGGGCAGAAUAGGAAAUGAAUUAUUUGAGCAUGAUGAUAAACAUGACAAAUGAAAUAUUUUGUCAUAUUUGAGAAACAUAUGACCCAAACAAUUUAUGAGAAUUAUUUGGGAAUUUUAGGAGUGAUGGAAAUAAAGGUUGCUUCACAACCUAGGGCAAUUUGAGUUAUUCCAUUAAUAGAAAAGGAAUAUUCCCAAUAAAAAGAAUAUUGGGAUGUGGGCUAGGAUGAAAAUGACAGGGUCUAGGGAAGGGUUUGGGAAUGACAAGCCACUCUGGAAACAAAGAAGAGGGCAUCUUCUUCAGUUUCCAGACCAGAAAACCACAGAAAAAGAAAACUCAAGCAAAAACCUCAGAAAAACAGAAGAAAAAGAAAGGCCCAAUAAUCAGGCUGUCACAAACCUCACCCCCUUAAAGAAAUCUCGUCCUCGAGAUUUGGUUGCUCAGGGAACAAGUAUGAAGAUACUGACUUAAGGAAACCGUUUCCAACUUGGGUAUCCUUUUUCUUAUUUUUGUUCCCACUAAAUUUUUAUCUAACUGGCCCUUGUUUGCUUUAAUAUAUCCAUAUUCUGACAGAGCUUACCUUGCUUGUUCAUGCUUAUACAGGCUCCAAUUUAUUUUUAGAUCUGCUAGCUUAGCUGACUGUGAUUGAUUCUCACGACUGAAAUAUAUGUCGGGCUCACAAAUCCAAGUGUGAUUUCUGCGGGGUGUGUCAUCCGGCACUUUCAUGAAGUGGUGAUCAGAUUUUUUUUCUAGUGGACACCCAAGCUUUAACUCCUUGCAUUGGGUUUCUCCACUAAAUGCAGGUCCUUCGGGUUCCAAACAGUGAGUUGGGUCAUACCGCUUUCCUGACAGCUUUUGGCUUAUCGCGGAAGUUUUUUGAAUCACCUUAACUGGUUCCACUGUCUUGAGUAUCGGAUCCAUACCAAAUAUUUGAUUGUCGCCUGUCGUGGCUAGCAUAAGAGUUUGACCUGUAUGAUAAUAUCUGCAGACUUGACUGACGGUGGUUCUGCACCACGCGGGUCUUGCAACAAUUUUCAUACCCACAUCACUGGUCUUGCUCCUUCAUUAUCGUUUUCUUGGUCUGGAUCCUUGGCUGAAAGAGCUGGGUCAUAUUGCUUCUUUGUAUCACCAUAGGUACGAUCGGUACAAUUUUUCGGCAAUCGUAGCCUAUCCUCAUUUUUCUAACAAGGUACCCCAUUUAAAUGGCAGUUUCAACUCCCCUCAAGUUCUGACUGAUUCUUGCUUCUGACCAAAAUGUUGCGGAUCUGAUUCUUGGGAUUCACUGCCAUAUGCUGUCAAUUCACAGCGUACUACCUUGUACCAAUGUCUUACUGAGGAAGAUUGGUUGGCUUGUGCUCGAAACUUUCGUCGGACAGCUUGCUGAAGAAGACUGGGUAUCGUGCUUCAAAAGCUUACCCCCUUAAAGACUUUGCUGGGGAAAGACUCAGUACCUUAUGCCAGAAGCUUUUGCGGUUGCUUACUGAAGAAGGCAGAGUACCUUGUACGGGAAAUCAUCCAUGUAUCAUACUGAAGAAGCUAGAUGAGUAUUGCCUUGGAAGCUUCUCGGGUAUCUUGCGAGGGAAGAUUGGGUUACUUACACCAGAAACUUCUUAUUGUGAUAUGCGGACCGAUUUCCACAUAUAUAACCAUCUUAAUAUUUUUGUUCUUGAUUUCUUGUAUGAAACGGGGUUUUGCAGGACUAUCCUCCUUUCUGAGUACAUGCCAUAUCUUUGCUUGCUUCCAGGUACAUCAGGUUCCAAAAUCAUCCUCAACGAAAAAUUAAACUUGUAUCUAAGCCAUACCUUUGAUAAUAUUUUGUCAACCUUGCACACAAUUUAUCUUCUUGCUGAUUUGAUCAUUUCUGCUAUGAGGAGUGCACGUUAAUGCAAACUUUAUACUGACAUUCCAUCCAGGAUUUCUUUUGUAUUCAGACGAGCUAUUUCCAAUUUCACUGCAGUCUGCUGACAAUUCCAUGCUGUUUAGCUGAGUUUCCAAAUAUCUGCAUUUCUUGCUGACUCUUCGGGUCCGGUGUUGGCUGACGAGCAACUUUAAUAGGGGGGAAAUUUGUAACACCUAAGGCCCAAAGAAAGAAAUAAAAGAAACGACUAAAACAAAAGCACAGAAGCAUACUAGUAAUAUAAUUAAUCAAGCAAUCAUCACAUAUUACUGCUACUCACACCAUAAUAUGCAUGCACACUAAGCACACAAAUUGCGUAGAAACUCUAGUAUUACGGUCUAAUAUGCUGUGGCGGUGUGCAUGAAAAUUAUAUCCAUGUGUGGAAGGAGUUGGCGUAACCGAAGCUACACCAAGCACUGGCUGAACAGUGGCUGGAUCUGGAUGGAUACACAGGUGAGAACGGACUUGACGAUCAAGUAGCAAGACACAAAAGUCACGACCACCUCAUCAUCAAGUGUGCGAAGGGAAUCGUACCCGUCCAAAGAAUGAAAUGACAUGGCAAGAUAACAGUGGAGGACUGGGUUUAUUGGCAUUGCCCUUUUCUGAUAACAACGAUCAGCAAGGGUUGCCAAGGGGACGAGAUGGAGGGCAUGGAUGACGAUGUGGUCGCAUCACACCGAGGAGCAGGCAUGCUAAGAAAGAUGGUGCAGGCGGUGGACCGAAAACGAUGCCACCUACACUCACAAUAUUAACCAUUAGUGAAAAUAAUAAUAAUUUGUAUGCAUGCUAUGCGACAAAGAAAUGCAACAAUCAAGUGCAACAAACCAACUGGGGUCUAUACUACCGCUUUCUCACGUUUGCGCGGGCUAGGGCAUCCUACAGCCAGACCUGCUCUGAUACCAAGCCUGUGGCACCCCGGCUUAGAGAAAACCGGAACGCCCCGUAUUCCAGCCCAGAGAUCGAGGAGAAGUCUUCUGGAAUACGGGACUGCUUAGCAUAGAACAAACCAUCUUUCUAUUAUUACAUGGAUAUGAAUACAAGGUCUCCGAUAUUACAAUGAAUAACAUCGGCACGGCGACACUACGCCAUCCUCAGUUGCUCUAUGCAAGCAGUAGAACAACUCGAAACAACGGAAUAACUCUAGCAGCGGAACAACGACGAUAGUGGUGAACUCCACUCCGCACGGACUCUGGCUAGAACGCUUAUCCUAGCUCGCGAACACAGGAACAACACCAAACAAGCAAGCAAUCCAGGCACGACCUACAAGCUGGCAUGACACGCCAGGUCAGUACAUUGAAUGUACUUGCAAGCUCACAAUAACCAGAAGCAUUGAAGACAAACAUGAGCAUGGCAUUUAUAGGUUAAGCAGGAAUUAACAUGAGAUCAUGAGAAUAACAUGGCAUGAACAAUAUGAACAUGAUACAAGUAGACAACAUGAGCAUGGCAUGAACAUGUAGAUCUGACGCUACUAGCAAGCAACAUGAUGACACUAUAUGCACUAUUUAUUCUGCUCGGGUUACUACGUAACCAUCGCAUGCAUCACUUACCAACCUCGGACAUCACACGAUCAUCUCAGGAUCAAAUCAAGCUUGGUAUAAACAAUACCGUAGUAAUUAUUAAAUGACCACAAGGAGCUUGAUCUUUACCCAUGAUUCUCGGACAACAUCAUGAAUAUCCAACAACUCGGUAUCCUCGAUACCACAGUAAUCAUUCCGGCGAUCACAACCAUGACCAACACUUGGUCUCAAACGGUGAUCUUUCCGGCGAUCACAACCAACUUAUCUCAUCGUCGAACCGGGGUUGUCAUUAAUCAAGUUAUUAUUAAUACUGUUGACUCACAGUGGGACCGACACGAACUGGGCCCUUAUCCGCGGGCGCGGCUAUCGAUAGAUUUAAUAUACACUCUGCAGAGGUUAGUACAUUGUAUCCACACCACGGAACCCAUGGCCUCGCACUCCCAUUCGGGAGGACCAACGGCGUUCCGACAAAUCCGAUCUACUGCCAUGACACUCUCCCGGCCACUCCGACUCACUCCCCAUUGGGCUAGUCCUGGGUGGCCCCGUGUCUACCAAAGACACAACGACCACCGUCGUAGUCCGUCCCAAACAGGGAAAAAGCGCUUAUCAUCCAAUCUACGGGCACACAUGGUUAUGUCCGCCUACCUGAUCAGGGUAAGCACGCCCAUAACCUUCCCUAGUUGGAGGCACCGGCGAGAGGCAUGACAAUAGACCCAGCUAGGACCUCCCCAUAAGGUAAGCGUGGUUGCACUGGACAGUUUCGAUAUGGUGGCACCAUGACUCGGCCAACAGUUGUUCAAGUUCAAUUUAAUCCGGGUAAACUUGAAUGCAAUAUGCUGAGCCAUGAUAAAAUAACAUGAUGCAUUUACAAAGCAUGAGCAUGAUAUCAACAUAAGCACGGGAUACAACAUAACUAUCCACCACAUCAACUAUGAAUAAUCUCCGAAUGAACAUGGCAUAAUGACGAGCAUAAACAUUACAAGUGCAACACUACUCAUAGCAUAACAUGACCACUAGCAUCAACAAUAAAUAUCAUGCAUGAACACAACAACAAUGCAAGCAUGCAAGCAUUUAACCAACCGGAUGCAAUGGAACAUGUAUAACAACGGUACUCGGGACAGAUGGCCGUCAUGCACCGAAGACCAUUACCAACAUCAACAUGUACUACUAGCAAGCAUGAGCAUAUGAAAGGAAUACUAGCAACUAGCAGGGCAUGAUAACCAGGUGCAUAACAACAUAGCAAGAAGGUAAGCACUACCCCAGAAGCAUUACCGAAACAACGAUAACCAUAUUUUAAACAAGCAAACAUUUAAUAAAUAUUCAAGUUGAAAACCAUGGCUACUGCAUGAUUGUGACACCCAAAAUUUUAUUUGGCUUUUUCAAAAGAAUUUAUUUGACUUGAGGGAGGUGAUUUUGUUUUUUUCAAAAGAACCCUCCCUCUCAAAAUAUUUUUCCUUUAUGGCAAGUGCUUUGUUUUGGAUUCACCCAAGGUUUGGUUCUUGGUCUUGGAGGUUUUCCUUUUAUUUGGACUCAAAACCAAAAUGCUUUUCACUUGGAAAAAAAAUGUCUUUUGAAAAUUCCUUUGAAAAGCCCUAUAGCUUUUGGAAAGAUCCUUUUCCACUUUCAAAAAAAAUCUCUCUUGCCAUGACCUUAGUGCAAAUCCACUCUCAUAAGCCUUUCCUCAUCUUUGGAUCAUGAUGUACUUCAAAUCCAGCAAGUUGAACCUCUCCAUAUAAAUAUUUCCAUUUAUUUCUUAUCAAAAACAAUUUCUGCCUUCUAUUCUAGCUCUUGAAGAUUUACAAAGGAGCUACCCUUUCUGUUUUGAUUUUUGCCCCCAAACCAAUUUCCCUAGCUAGUCCUUUGAACCCUCAACCAAGAUCCAUGAAGAUCCACUGGUCUUCGUUCAAAUUUUUCAAACUACACUUGCUGCAAGUUUGGACCAGAUUUGCCAAAUUUGAUGAAAUUCAUUCAAAUCCUUCUCCUAAAAAUCUGAGAAAAAUAAGGCAGCCUCUGGGUGCAUUGAGAGGUCACCUCACCAAGUCCCAGCUCCAGGAAAAAUCUUUUGCUUGCCAAAUCAUUUCAUCGAACACCUGCUGGACACUGUUCCUAUAAUGUUCAGUCAAGUUCAGUUAACAGUGUCUGAAACUACUAUCGUUUCUUCAGUGUCCGUUGUCGAUCUCGCCAGUGCCCCGGCGUCACCGUGCUUCCUGUCCCCUCCCCCUUGUCCUCUGCACCGCACGAGCGCCUGGAAGGUUGCGGGUGUCGGCGACGAGCAGGAGGAGGUGCGCCGCCCCGUGACCGAUGCCAGCGGCGGCUUUGCGGCCGCUAGGGAGAAGCACAGCGUAGACGGCGCCGACCAGCGCCGCCCAAGCCACCGGAGGUCGCCGCGUGGUCUUCCACUCCCCAGUGCGCGCUGCCACCCUCGUCGUGAACCGCUGGGCGUGGAGCGCGCUCUCUGCGGCCGCCGUGCCCCUACGGCCACCCCGCCGUGGACCGGCGCCAUUACGCCAAGACCGACCAGGAUUAGCGGGGGAACGGCACCAGUACACCUCACUGAUGCUGCCUGGCCACUCAAACUCCUUGCCAAGCCACUGCCUCGCCGUAAUUGCUUGCCGGAGCGAUCCCGUUCACGGCCACCCCCUCGAGCCGCCUAUAAAUAGAGGCCCCGAGCUCCACCUCGAACCCACACCACCUCUGCACACAUCCAACACCCCGCCUAGCCACUGGAAGAGCCCCGAGGGAGUCUCCUUCCUCAACACCGGCCUCCGCGACCAGCCACGGGAUCCAGCUCGAUUCGCUCCCCACCCACCGGAGUUCCCCACCAUCGCCCGAGCCGCCGUCCGCCGGAGAAAGUGUCGCCGUCGACGUGGUGCUCUCCGACGACCAAGUCCACCACCCACCGACGCGGAAGGACGCACUGAACCUCUUGGUUCCGGAAGAGGUGACGGAGCCGCGAACUUCGUCGAGCUAGACUCCGACUUCUCCGAACCAGGCAAGCAUGUUUGAACCUUUGAUAUGAUAGGUGUUUUCCAUGUUUGCGUGAAAGGUUGUUUAUAACAUAUGAGCAACGGUGAGUAUCUCGUUGCAUGUGCGGCAACAACCCGUGUGUUCCGAAGUUACUGUGAUCUCUGAUGAGAGAUGGCCUAGUCAUGUGGUGACAUGAAGGGCAGUAAGGUGGUACUCUUGUAGCAUGCCAGCCUUACGUCAUCCGAUAAAUCCCGACGUUAACGUGGACGGAGUCACUUUAUCGUUCUUCCCCCUUCCGUGCUACCACAUGUUUUCUGCCAGAAUGCGGUUUAGUAAGUUGGUAACCUCUUUCCGUGUACACACCAAAUAGAGGGGCCGGGAUGAGGGUUCCACGGCCCUGGAUUAAAGCCAGUCAUCCGGUUAGGGGGCAUGGGUGUUUCCGGUUGGGACCGUGAGGGGGGCACCCCUUAGAGCGCGCGUAUAUAAAUUUGAUCCCAUGCUACGCGAGGUUGUAGCCUCCCCGUCUCAAGGUUUUUCUUGAACGUUGCCGAGGGUGAUCCCUGGCUUCGGAAUGUUGAAUGGGUGUGUACUGGUUAGAUGUGUUUCUUCCAAAACACCGUAAACGGAACUAGUCCCCGUGACUACUGAAAUCCGUUGGCUGUGGUUUAAGUACAAACUCUACAGAGUCAAAUCCUUCCGAGUCAUCGUAUCCAUGGUCAAGGACCGUGAUCAGUGAACCCAUAUCUAUGUCAAGUCCUCGUGGUAUUAUCCUUGGUAAACAAACUUGAGUGGUAAACUUGGUUAAACAUUAUUCCUGUGGAUGAACUAACCCUGUUGUUUACCUCAUGCCUGAUUAUUUUCAAUAUAAGCCCUUUAUGUGAUGUCGCUCAGACGUCCGACUGUGGCAUGUUUGUCGUUUACUUUCAAUAUAAGCCCUUAAUGUGAUGUCGCUCAGACGUCCGACUGUGGCAUGUUUGUCUUUUAUUUUCAAUAUAAGCCCUUUAUGUGAUGUCGCUCAGACGUCCGACUGUGGCAUGUUUGUCUUUUACUUUCAAUAUAAGCCCUUUAUGUGAUGUCGCUCAGACGUCCGACUGUGGCAUGCACUGUCUUUUAUUUUCUAUUAUAAGCCCUUUUUGUGGUGUCGCCCUGACGCCCGACUGCGGCAUUGUUAUUUUUGCAUUUUACUCUCGAGGAGUCAUUCAGACCCUCGUUUGGCACCCAAUAUUUAUUUUGGGAUUUCGGGAGGACUACCGCCCGACUUCUCUUUUAUUUCCCGUGCAUUAUUAUCUCUAUGUCUGAGUGCACUUGUUAAUCUGUUCAUAUGCAUCAUGUUUACAUUUGUUAUAUCUUAUGUCCGAACUGCCUUGCGAGUACUUUCAUAGUACUCACCUGGCUUGUUGAUUUGGCCAGAUACUGACGAAGGCGAUCUCAUGGAUGAAGAGUUUGAUAGUGAGUCCGACGCCUAGAGGAGUCCCAGUCAGUCCCGUGCGAUAUUGGUCACUUGUAUUAUAUACGCUUCCGCCACCCGCAAUAAGUCUCCUCGAGCCUCACUCCGACGCUCGAAGAGUUGUUAGUUUUCAGGAGUCAUAUCACCCACAUCGCGGUGAUAUUCCCACCACCACUCCUAUCAUGAGUUAGUAGUUAUGCCACCCUAUCCGCCGUUAUGUUUUAUCGGCGCGCUUGUAAUAAAUUGUUGAGCAGUCUCCGCUCAACUUUGUAUUAUAUUCAGUACUCCUUGUAUUUUUCUUCUGUGACCAAGAUAUUGUCUACCAGUGAAAAGAAAUUCUUCUUUACUGGUCCGUAAAAGGGAUUGGUCUCUCAAUAAAUAUUUUUAUUGAAAAACCGGUCGUGACAAGCUUGGUAUCAGAGCCAGGCUGACUGUAGGAAGCCACUAGGUGCGAUCGCUAAUCGGUUAUUAGCGUCUUUUGUGCUUUUUCAGCAUUUUUGCAAAUGUAGCUAUUUUCUGUUGGUCAUCAUAAAUUUAUGACAUGACUACUCAGAAUUUUUGCCUACUUUUGUAGAUGGCUGGCAGCAACUGCGAGACUCGAGUGCUCACGAACGUGCCCGAGGGGUUUGUCAAACUCCUCGUCUCCAUCACCAAGCUCGCGAUCGGGCCAGCGACUCGUCCGGAGUUCACGCUUUAUCAGCACAAGCUCAGCGACGACGUGUCUAUGCACCAGGCCGUGGUGCAAUUCAAGGGAGGACGUUCUGCAUCCCGCCACUUCCGUUUUGUGGGAAGGGCCAUGCCUACGGAGAGGCAUGCCAUGCAGAUGGCUGCCCGUGAGGCGAUAGCUCGCCUUCGGGACAUCCUUCCUAUGAUGAAGACUCGUCGCUACCGCUACCUCCCAUGCCAUGUGCCAUAUACUUGUCACUAUGCAUUCGCCUGCCAUCGGGGAGAGCGAGAUGAAGCCAUCUAGAUGGUUGUUGAGUACCUCAAGGCUCUAGAGGAAUCCUUCGACAACCUCGUGGACGAUCUUGUGGCUGCCCGCAUGGACUUAGUCCGGGGCGGUCCUGCCAGCAGGAAGGAGCUUCUCCACACGGCACCGCCUCUGACAUUCGUCUCGUCUUCAGCCUCUUAUGCACCGGCCAUUUUGGCCACUGCUCGCCGUCUGCCUACCACUGAGGAGUUCGACAGAGUCAUCGCUCCUACUCCAGUCAGAGUUGUACCGCCUGCCGCACCCGCACUGCCGCCCGUCGCUCCCGCGCCUUCACCGCAGCGCAGUGCUACGCGCCAGGAGCCUGCUAGAGAGGAGGUGGAGGUUGAAUCUCCUGCACCACUGAGUCUUGCCCUCGGCAAGGGAAAGGACAUCGUCACCAUCUCCGACUGAGAGCGCCGAGUAGCCGCGCGUUAUGUCUGCUUGUAUGAUGUGUUUUAUCUAUACGUUAGUUUGUAGUAGUGUGUUCGCUGCUUUCCGGAGGAGUGUGCUAGUCUAAAUAACAUGUCAGGAAUGUGUACGCACAUCCUGAGUGCUGUAUCGUACGUUUGCGUUUCGCGUGUAAGAUAUAUGCUAAGCGGUUCUUCUCCGUGCGAAAUCGUUUAUGCUUUCUUGAAAAAUCUUGAGGUCUUUUAAAUUUUUACCUUUGCAAGAUUUUCCUCGUGCCACACAGUUCUUCUCAUGAAUUUUGCAAAAUAAUACCCCAGACUGGAAAAAUGUCUCGUCCGUGCACUCGUUCCAUGCCCAAUCAGCCAGAAGAAGUUUAUGGGACACAGACUAGCAACAACUUCACUCAGGGACAGUCCAGUCAACAUUACAGCGAUGCAGCCCUGUCUCAAGUAUGCCAUCUCUUCGAACAAAGCCAGCAACAGCACCAAGAGAUUAUGAAUCACGUCAUCAAUAUGGGAAAUCACCGUGAGCCCUAUCAUCCACACUCCAAGUUGUCUGAGUUACAGAAGACUCGCCCUCCAACAUUUGCUCACACUGAUAGGCCACUAGAAGCCGAUGAUUGGCUUCGUGACAUCGAGAGAAAGCUGAUUAUUGCUCAGUGUUCAGAUCAUGAGAAGGUGCUUUAUGCACCUCACUGGAGCAGCUGCAGCAUGGUGGGAAAACUUCCUACACAUGCAUCCCAGUGAACACAACAUCACCUGGGAAGAGUUCAAGGAAGGCUUUCGUGGGGCACACAUCCCCAGGAGCAUUAUAAAAAUCAAGAAGAGAGAAUUUGAUGACCUCAAGCAAAGAGGCAUGUCAGUGACAGAAUACAACGGUCAGUUUACCCACCUAUCUCGUUAUGCCUACGACGAGCACAUCAUGGAGAACAGGAGGAUGGAAAAAUUCUUGGACGGCCUGGCACCGGCACUAAGAUGCCAACUGGUUGUACACACUUUCCCGGAUUUUAAAACUCUGGUUGACAAGGCCAUUACCUUGGAGAAUGAGUGCCGUAGUCUGGAAGACAUCCGUAAGUGAAAGAGGGAUAGGACGACCCUUGCUCGCAACAACCGAAGCAAGACUGAUGCUCAGAAGACUGAAGCAAGGAGAUCCACAACUACUGAUCUAAGGCCAACCAAACAGGUUCAUUCCAGGGACAAGGACUUCACGUACCGUCCAGGGGUCACUUGCUAUGCUUGUGGUGAAGAAGGGCACUAUGCUAAAUAGUGCCCAAAGCCAAGGAACUCGGCCCCCAAGCCGAACAAUGGUGGGAAUAAUCCAGCCCCCAAGCGCAACAAUUUCAAUCCCAACAACAACCACAGGAAGGGUCACCUGAACCAUGUGACCAGAGAAGAAGCGCAGAAUGCCCCAGACAUCGUGCUCGGUACGUUCCCUGUCAACACAGUACCUGCCACGGUUUUGUUUGAUUCUGGAGCUUCCCAUUCGUUCGUUUCGAAGAGUUUUGUUUUGCAACAUGGUUUUCCGAUGCUUCCCUUGGAAAAAUCUAUGAUCAUCAAGUCCCCCGGAAAUAAGCAGAUCGCUCAGAGUUACUGCCAAGGAGUGAUCAUUGAGUUCGAAGGACUACAGUUUCAAGCUAAUCUUAUCGUGUUGGAAAACAAAGGACUGGAUGUCAUCCUAGGGAUGGACUGGUUAAUCACCAACAAAGGAUUCAUUGACUGUUUCAAUCGGACCGUGAUUCUCACGCACCAUCACGGCAAGAAAAUAAAGGUUACAGCUCAAGAAAGACCACGGUCGCAGCAACCAAAAUUGAACAAAAUGGACAUUUCAGAACUGAGAAAAGUUCUAGUGGUGUGCGAGUUUCCUGACGUAUUUCCUGAAGAACUACCAGGCAUGCCACCAGACCGAGAGAUAGAAUUCAGCAUUGAACUAGCACCUGGCACCGCUCCCAUCUAUAAGAAACCUUAUAGAAUGGCACCCUCAGAAUUGGUAGAAUUGAAGAAACAGAUAAAGGAAUUACUGGACAAAGGUUUUAUUCGAGCCAGUUCCUCACCUUGGGGUUCGCCAGUAUUAUUCGCCAAGAAAAAGGAUGGGACACUGAGACUGUGUAUAGACUAUCGAGCUCUCAAUAUGGUCACCAUCAAAAACAAAUAUCCGAUGCCACGGAUAAAUGAUUUGUUUGACCAGCUCGCACAAGCCAAGGGGUUCUCAAAAAUUGAUUUGAGAUCGGGAUAUCACCAAUUGAAAGUACGGACAGAAGAUAUCCCUAAGACAUCAUUUACCUCCAGAUACGGAUUAUAUGAGUUCACAGUGAUGCCUUUUGGACUAACGAACGCCCCCGCAUAUUUCGUCCACCUUAUGAACAAAGUGUUCAUGAAAUUCAUGGACAAAUUUGUUGUGGUGUUCAUUGACGAUAUUCUGGUUUACUCAAGGACACCAGAAGAGCAUGCUGAGCAUCUCAAAAUUGUUUUGGGAGAAUUAAGGAAACAUCAGUUGUACGCCAAAUUUAGCAAGUGUGAAUUUUGGCUAAGGCAAGUUGGUUUCCUAGGCCAUAUAUUAAACCAAGAAGGCGUGGCCGUAGACCCAGAAAAAGUCAAAGCCAUACUUGACUGGAAACCACCCGCCAACGUGACAGAUGUGCGGAGUUUCCUGGGAAUGGCCGGAUAUUACAGAAGAUUUAUUGAAGGAUUCUCCACUAUGUCGAAACCAAUGACCCAGUUGCUCAAGAAAGACAAGAUAUUUGUUUGGACGGAAGCAUGCGAGAAAAGCUUCCAAGAACUCAAGAAGAAACUAACAACCGCACCGGUCCUAACUGUGCCAGAUAUACACAAGAGUUUUGAAGUAUAUUGUGACGCGUCCCGAAAGGGCCUCGGAUGUGUGCUAAUGCAGGAUGGCAAAGUUGUCGCGUAUGCCUCCAGGCAACUGCGGAAACAUGAGGAAAAUUACCCAACACAUGACCUGGAGCUAGCAGCAGUCAUCCAUGCACUCAAGGAGUGGAGGCACUUUCUGUUGGGAAAUCGUUGUGAAAUAUAUACGGACCAUAAGAGCCUUAAAUAUAUUUUCACACAGCCAGAGCUAAAUUUACGCCAACGACGCUGGUUGGAAUUGGUCAAGGACUAUGAUGUCGGCAUUCACUACCAUCCAGGGAAAGCAAAUGUAGUGGCUGAUGCCCUUAGUCGGAACCCCAGCCCGGACAACGACGGUCCACAAAACUUGAGGCCUGAGUUUCAGCAAGAGUUCGCUAGACUCAACAUGGUGUUAGUCUCUGAGGGCACCGUAUCAAAUCUGGAGAUACAACCCACCCUAGUGGAACAAAUUAAGAAGGCUCAGCAGGGACAUCCCAGCAUCGAAGGUAUAAAGAAGAAAAUGAACCUGGGUAAGGCCUCCGAGUUCAUCACAGACAGUGAAGGAAUAUUAUGGUACGGAGACAGACUUUGCGUACCUAACAUUGAGGAACUCAAGCAACAAAUCCUAACCGAAAGCCACACCGCUCCAUACUCGAUCCACCCUGGAGGAACCAAAAUGUACAAAGACAUUCAGGAGAGAUUUUGGUGGCACGGUAUGAAAAGGGAUAUAGCCGCAUUUAUUGCUUGUUGCGAUUCAUGUCAGCGCAUCAAGGCCGAGCAUCAAAAGCCAGCAGGGCUACUCCAGCCAAACAGGAUACCGGAUUGGAAAUGGGAUGAGAUAGGAAUGGACUUCAUCGUCGGACUACCUCGAUCACAACGCGGAAAUGACGCCAUAUGGGUCAUCACAGACCGACUAACCAAGGUUGCUCAUUUCAUUCCCGUGAAGACUACCUAUUCCACACAAAGGCUGGCCAAGAUUUAUCUCUCACGUAUAGUUUGUUUGCAUGGAGUCCCAAAGACUAUAAUAUCCGACCGAGGCACUCAAUUUGUCUCUAAAUUCUGGGAUCACUUACAACAAGCCCUGGGCACGCAACUAGCUUUCAGUACAGCGUACCACCCUCAGACUGAUGGACAAACGGAACGUGUGAACCAAAUCCUAGAGGACAUGCUGAGAGCCUGUGUGCUCACCUAUGGAUCCAGUUGGGAAGAAAGUUUGCCAUACGCCGAGUUUGCUUACAACAACAGUUACCAAGCCAGCUUACAAAUGGCACCAUUUGAAGCAUUGUACGGACGGAGGUGUUGUACCCCACUGAAUUGGUCAGAGACAGGUGACAGUCGUAUCUUCGGCCCAGACAUGCUCAAGGAGGCCGAGGAGAAAGUUAAACAGAUCAGGGAUAGACUCAAGACAGCACAAAGCCGACAGAAGAGCUAUUACGAUCAAAAACAUCGUGAGGUCAGCUUUGAACCCGGUGAUUUCGUAUAUCUCCGAGUGUCUCCUAUGAGGGGUCUGCAACGGUUCAAAAUUAAGGGGAAGCUAGCCCCAAGGUUUAUUGGACCAUUCUGUAUAAUUGCACGAAGAGGCACAGUGGCCUACAAACUAGAUCUACCCAAGGAGCUGUCAGACGUCCAUGACGUGUUCCACGUCUCACAAUUGAGAAAAUGUGUAAGUAACCUGGAGAAGCAUGUACCUCAUGAAAGCAUUGAUGUGCAACCGGACCUCACCUACAGAGAGCGGCCAGUAAAGAUACUGGAAGAGUCUGAACAGAGGACCCGUCAAAAAACAACAAAAAUUUUCAAGGUCCAGUGGAGCAACCACACUGAGGAUGAAGCUACAUGGGAAAGGGAAGAUUUUCUUCAGGCAGGAUAUCCAUAUCUAUUUGAGGAUCAGCUGAAAUCUCAAGGACGAGAUUUUUCCUAAGGGGGUAGGUGUUGUGACACCCAAAAUUUUAUUUGGCUUUUUCAAAAAAAAUUAUUUGACUUGAGGGAGGUGAUUUAAAUUUUUCUUCAAGAGAACCCUCACUCACAAAAUAUUUUUCCUUUAUGGCAAGUGCUUUGUUUUGGAUUCACCCAAGGUUUGGUUUUUGGUCUUGGAGGUUUUCCUUUUAUUUGGAAUCAAAACCAAAAUGCUUUUCACUUGGAAAAAAAUGUCUUUUGAAAAUUCCUUUGAAAAGCCCUAUAGCUUUUGGAAAGAUCCUUUUCCACUUUCAAAAAAAAUCUCUCUUGCCAUGACCUUAGUGCAAAUCCACUCUCAUAAGCCUUUCCUCAUCUUUGGAUCAUGAUGUACUUCAAAUCCAGCAAGUUGAUCCUCUCCAUAUAAAUAUUUCCAUUUAUUUCUUAUCAAAAACAAUUUCUGCCUUCUAUUCUAGCUCUUGAAGAUUUACAAAGGAGCUACCCUUUCUGUUUUGAUUUUUGCCCCCAAACCAAUUUCCCUAGCUAGUCCUUUGAACCCUCAACCAAGAUCCAUGAAGAUCCACUGGUCUUCAGUUCAAAUUUUUCAAACUACACUUGCUGCAAGUUUGGACCAGAUUUGUCAAAUUUGAUGAAAUUCAUUCAAAUCCUUCUCCUAAAAAUCUGAGAAAAAUCAGGCAGCCUCUGGGUGCAUUGAGAGGUCACCUCACCAAGUCCCAGCUCCAGGAAAAAUCUUUUGCUUGCCAAAUCAUUUUAUCGAACACCUGCUGGACACUGUUCCUAUAAUGUUCAGUCAAGUUCAGUUAACAGUGUCUAAAAUUACUGUCGUUUCUUCAGUGUCCGUUGUCGAUCUCGCCAGUGCCCCGGCGUCGCCGUGCUUCCUGUCCCCUCCCCCUUGUCCUCUGCACCGCACGAGCGCCUGGAAGGUUGCAGGUGUCGGCGACGAGCAGGAGGAGGUGCACCGCCCCGUGACCGACGCCAGCGGCGGCUUUGCGGCCGCCAGGGAGAAGCACAGUAGACGGCGCCGACCAGCGCCGCCCAAGCCACCGGAGGUCGCCGCGUGGUCUUCCACUCCCCAGUGCGCGCUGCCACCCUCGUCGUGAACCGCUGGGCGCGGAGCACGCUCUCUGCCGCCGCCGUGCCCGUACGGCCACCCCGCCGUGGACCGGCGCCAUUACGCCAAGACCGACCAGGAUUAGCGGGGGAACGGCACCAGUACACCUCACUGAUGUUGCCUGGCCACUCAAACUCCUUGCCAAGCCACUGCCUCGCCGUAAUUGCUCGUCGGAGCGAUCCCGUUCACGGCCACCCCCUCGAGCCGCCUAUAAAUAGAGGCCCCGAGCUCCACCUCGAACCCACACCACCUUUGCACACCUCCAACACCCCGCCUAGCCACUGGAAGAGCCCCGAGGGAGUCUCCUUCCUCAACUCCGGCCGCCGCGACCCGCCACGGGAUCCAGCUCGAUUCGCUCCCCACCCACCGGAGUUCCCCACCAUCGCCCGAGCCGCCGUCCGCCGGAGAAAGUGUCGCCUUCGACGUGGUGCUCUCCGACGACCAAGUCCACCACCCACCGACGCGGAAGGAUGCACUGAACCUCUUGGUUCCGGAACAGGUGACGGAGCCGCGAACUUCGUCGAGCUAGACUCCGACUUCUCCGAACCAGGCAAGCAUGUUUGAACCUUUGAUAUGAUAGGUGUUUUGCAUGUUUGCGUGAAAGGUUGUGCAUGACAUAUGAGCAACGGUGAGUAUCUCGUUGCAUGUGCGGCAACAACCAGUGUGUUCCGAAGUUACUGUGAUCUCUGAUGAGAGAUGGCCUAGUCAUGUGGUGACAUGAAGGGCAGUAAGGUCGUACUGUUGUAGCAUGCCAGCCUUACGUCAUCCGAUAAAUCCCGACGUUAACGUGGACGGAGUCACGUUAUCGUUCUUCCCCCUUCCGUGCUACCACAUGUUUUCUGCCAGAAUGCGGUUUAGUAAGUUGGUAACCUCUUUCCGUGUACACACCAAAUAGAGGGGCCGGGAUGAGGGUUCCAUGGCCCUGGAUUAAAGCCAGUCAUCCGGUUAGGGGGCAUGGGUGUUUCCGAUUGGGACCGAGAGGGGGGGCACCCCUUAGAGCGCGCAUAUAUAAAUUUGAUCCAAUGCUACGCGAGGUUGUAGCCUCCCCGUCUCAAGGUUUUUCUUGAACGUUGCCGAGGGUGAUCCCUGGCUUCGGAAUGUUGAAUGGGUGUGUACUGGUUAGAUGUGUUUCUUCCAAAACACCGUAAACGGAACUAGUCCCUGUGACUACUAAAAUCCGUUAUCUGUGGUUUAAGUACAAACUCUACAUAGUCAAAUCCUUCCGAGUCAUCGUAUCCAUGGUCAAGGACCGUGACCAGUGAACCCAUAUCUAUGUCAAGUCCUCGUGGUAUUAUCCCCGGUAAACAAACUUGAGUGGUAAACUUGGUUAAACAUUAUUCCUGUGGAUGAACUAACCCUGUUGUUUACCUCAUGCCUGAUUAUUUUCAAUAUAAGCCCUUUAUGUGAUGUCGCUCAGACGUCCGACUGUGGCAUGUUUGUCGUUUACUUUCAAUAUAAUCCUUUAUGUGAUGUCGCUCAGACGUCCGACUGUGGCAUGUUUGUCUUUUAUUUUCAAUAUAAGCCCUUUAUGUGAUGUCGCUCAGACGUCCGACUGUGGCUUGUUUGUCUUUUACUUUCAAUAUAAGCCCUUUAUGUGAUGUCGCUCAGACGUCCGACUGUGGCACGCACUGUCUUUUAUUUUCUAUUAUAAGCCCUUUUUGUUGUCGCCCCGACGCCCGACUGUGGCAUUGUUAUUCUUGCAUUUUCCUCUCGAGGAGUCACUCAGACCCUCGUUUGGCACCCAGUAUUUAUUUUGGGAUUUCGGGAGGACUACCGCCCGACUUCUCUUUUAUUUCCCGUGCAUUAUUAUCUCUAUGUCUGAGUGCACUUGUUAAUCUGUUCAUAUGCAUCAUGUUUACAUUUGUUAUAUCUUAUGUCCGAACUGUCUUGCGAGUACUUUCAUAGUACUCACCUGGCUUGUUGAUUUGGCCAGAUACUGACGAAGGCGAUCUCAUGGAUGAAGAGUUUGAUAGUGAGUCCGACGCCUAGAGGAGUCCCAGUCAGUCCCAUGCGAUAUUGGUCACUUGUAUUAUAUACGCUUCCGCCACCCGCAAUAAGUCUCCUCGAGCCUCACUCCGACGCUCGAAGAGUUGUUAGUUUUCAGGAGUCAUAUCACCCACAUCGCGGUGAUAUUCCCACCACCACUCCUAUCAUGAGUUAGUAGUUAUGCCACCCUAUCCGCCGCUAUGUUUUAUCAGCGCGCUUGUAAUAAAUUGUUGAGCAGUCUCCGCUCAACUUUGUAUUAUAUUCAGUACUCCUUGUAUUUUUCUUCUGUGACCAAGAUAUUGUCUACCAGUGAAAAGAAAUUCUUCUUUACUGGUCCGUAAAAGGGAUUGGUCUCUCAAUAAAUAUUUUUAUUGAAAAACUGGUCGUGACAAGCUUGGUAUCAGAGCCAGGCUGACUGUAGGAAGCCACUAGGUGCGAUCGCUAAUCGGUUAUUAGCGUCUUUUGUGCUUUUUCAGCAUUUUUGCAAAUGUAGCUAUUUUCUGUUGGUCAUCAUAAAUUUAUGACAUGACUACUCAGAAUUUUUGCCUACUUUUGUAGAUGGUUGGCAGCAACUGCGAGACUCGAGUGUUCACGAACGUGCCCGAGGGGUUUGUCAAACUCCUCGUCUCCAUCACCAAGCUCGCGAUCGGGCCAGCGACUCGUCCGGAGUUCACGCUUUAUCAGCAGAAGCUCAGCGACGACGUGUCUAUGCACCAGGCCGUGGUGCAAUUCAAGGGAGGACGUUCUGCAUCCCGCCACUUCUGUUUUGUGGGAAGGGCCAUGCCUACGGAGAGCCAUGCCAUGCAGAUGGCUGCCCGUGAGGCGAUAGCUCGCCUUCGGGACAUCCUUCCUAUGAUGAAGACUCGUCGCUACCGCUACCUCCCAUGCCAUGUGCCAUAUACUUGUCACUAUGCAUUCGCCUGCCAUCGGGGAGAGCGAGAUGAAGCCACCGAGAUGGUUGUUGAGUACCUCAAGGCUCUAGAGGAAUCCUUCGACAACCUCGUGGACGAUCUUGUGGCUGCCCGCAUGGACUUAGUCCGGGGCGGUCCUGCCAGCAAGAAGGAGCUUCUCCACACGGCACCGCCUCUGACAUUUGUCUCGUCUUCAGCCUCUUAUGCACCGGCCAUUUUGGCCACUGCUCGCCGUCUGCCUACCACUGAGGAGUUCGACAGAGUCAUCGCUCCUACUCCAGUCAGAGCUGCACCGCCUGCCGCACCCGCACUGCCGCACGUCGCUCCCGCGCCUUCACCGCAGCGCAGUGCUACGCGCCAGGAGCCUGCUAGAGAGGAGGUGGAGGUUGAAUCUCCUGCACCGCUGAGUCUUGCCCUCGGCAAGGGAAAGGACAUCGUCACCAUCUCCAACUGAGAGCGCCGAGUAGCCGCGCGUUAUGUCUGCUUGUAUGAUGUGUUUUAUCUGUACGUUAGUUUGUAGUAGUGUGUUCGCUGCUUUCCGGAGGAGUGUGCUAGUCUAAAUAACAUGUCAGGAAUGUGUACGCACAUCCUGAGUGAUGUAUCGUACGUUUGCGUUUCGCGUGUAAGAUAUAUGCUAAGCGGUUCUUCUCCAUGCGAAAUCGUUUAUGCUUUCUUGAAAAAUCUUGAGGUCUUUUAAAUUUUUACCUUUGCAAGAUUUUCCUCGUGCCACACAGUUCUUCUCAUGAAUUUUGCAAAAUAAUACCCCAGACUGGAAAAAUGUCUUGUCCAUGGACUCGUUCCAUGCCCAAUCAGCCAGAAGAAGUUUAUGGGACACAGACUAGCAACAACUUCACUCAGGGACAGUCCAGUCAACAUUACAGCGAAGCAGCCCUGUCUCAAGUAUGCCGUCUCUUCGAACAAAGCCAGCAACAGCACCAAGAGAUUAUGAAUCACGUCAUCAAUAUGGGAAAUCACCGUGAGCCCUAUCAUCCACACUCCAAGUUGUCUGAGUUACAGAAGACUCGCCCUCCAACAUUUGCUCACACUGAUAGGCCACUAGAAGCCGAUGAUUGGCUUCGUGACAUCGAGAGAAAGCUGAUUAUUGCUCAGUGUUCAGAUCAUGAGAAGGUGCUUUAUGCACCUCACUGGAGCAGCUGCAGCAUGGUGGGAAAACUUCCUACACAUGCAUCCCAGUGAACACAACAUCACCUGGGAAGAGUUCAAGGAAGGCUUUCGUGGGGCACACAUCCCCAGGAGCAUCAUAAAAAUCAAGAAGAGAGAAUUUGAUGACCUCAAGCAAAGAGGCAUGUCAGUGACAGAAUACAACGGUCAGUUUACCCAGCUAUCUCGUUAUGCCUACGACGAGCACAUGACGGAGAACAAGAGGAUGGAAAAAUUCUUGGACGGCCUGGCAACGGCACUAAGAUGCCAACUGGUUGUACACACUUUCCCGGAUUUUAAAACUCUGGUUGACAAGGCCAUUACCUUGGAGAAUGAGCGCCGUAGUCUGGAAGACAUCCGUAAGCGAAAGAGGGAUAGGACGACCCUUGCUCGCAACAACUGAAGCAAGACUGAUGCUCAAAGGACUGAAGCAAGGAGAUCCACGACUACUGAUCUAAGGCCAACCAAACAGUUUCAUUCCAGGGACAAGGACUUCACGUACCGUCCAGGGGUCACUUGCUAUGCUUGUGGUGAAGAAGGGCACUAUGCUAAAUAGUGCCCAAAGCCAAGGAACUCGGCCCCCAAGCCGAACAAUGGUGGGAAUAAUCCAGCCCCCAAGCGCAACAAUUUCAAUCCCAACAACAACCACAGGAAGGGUCACCUGAACCAUGUGACCAGAGAAGAAGCGCAGAAUGCCCCAGACAUUGUGCUCGGUACGUUCCCUGUCAACACAGUACCUGCCACGGUUUUGUUUGAUUCUGGAGCUUCCCAUUCGUUCGUUUCGAAGAGUUUUGUUUUGCAACAUGGUUUUCCGAUGCUUCCCUUGGAAAAAUCUAUGAUCAUCAAGUCCCCCGGAAAUAAGCAGAUCGCUCAGAGUUACUGCCAAGGAGUGAUCAUUGAGUUCGAAGGACUGCAGUUUCAAGCUAAUCUUAUCGUGUUGGAAAACAAAGGACUGGAUGUCAUCCUAGGGAUAGACUGGUUAACCACCAACAAAGGAUUCAUUGACUGUUUCAACCGGACCGUGAUUCUCACGCACCAUCACGGCAAGACAAUAAAGGUUACAGCUCAAGAAAGACCACGGUCACAGCAACCAAAAUUGAACAAAAUGGACAUUUCAGAACUGAGAAAAGUUCCAGUGGUGUGCGAGUUUCCUGACGUAUUUCCUGAAGAACUACCAGGCAUGCCACCAGACCGAGAGAUAGAAUUCAGCAUUGAACUAGCACCUGGCACCGCUCCCAUCUAUAAGAAACCUUAUAGAAUGGCACCCUCAGAAUUGGUAGAAUUGAAGAAACAGAUAAAGGAAUUACUGGACAAAGGUUUUAUUCGAGCCAGUUCCUCACCUUGGGGUUCGCCAGUAUUAUUCGCCAAGAAAAAGGAUGGGACACUGAGACUGUGUAUAGACUAUCGAGCUCUCAAUAUGGUCACCAUCAAAAACAAAUAUCCGAUGCCACGGAUAAAUGAUUUGUUUGACCAGCUCGCACAAGCCAAGGGGUUCUCAAAAAUUGAUUUGAGAUCGGGAUAUCACCAAUUGAAAGUACGGACAGAAGAUAUCCCUAAGACAGCAUUUACCUCCAGAUACGGAUUAUAUGAGUUCACAGUGAUGCCUUUUGGACUAACGAACGCCCCCGCAUAUUUCGUCCACCUCAUGAACAAAGUGUUCAUGAAAUUCAUGGACAAAUUUGUUGUGGUGUUCAUUGACGAUAUUCUGGUUUACUCAAGGACACCAGAAGAGCAUGAUGAGCAUCUCAAAAUUGUUUUGGGAGAAUUAAGGAAACAUCAGUUGUACGCCAAAUUUAGCAAGUGUGAAUUUUGGCUAAGGCAAGUUGGUUUCCUAGGCCAUAUAUUAAACCAAGAAGGCGUGGCCGUAGACCCAGAAAAAGUCAAAGCCAUACUUGACUGGAAACCACCCGCCAACGUGACAGAUGUGCGGAGUUUCCUGGGAAUGGCCGGAUAUUACAGAAGAUUUAUUGAAGGAUUCUCCACUAUGUCGAAACCAAUGACCCAGUUGCUCAAGAAAGACAAGAUAUUUGUUUGGACGGAAGCAUGCGAGAAAAGCUUCCAAGAACUCAAGAAGAAACUAACAACCGCACCGGUCCUAACUGUGCCAGAUAUACACAAGAGUUUUGAAGUAUAUUGUGACGCGUCCCGAAAGGGCCUCGGAUGUGUGCUAAUGCAGGAUGGCAAAGUUGUCGCGUAUGCCUCCAGGCAACUGCGGAAACAUGAGGAAAAUUACCCAACACAUGACCUGGAGCUAGCAGCAGUCAUCCAUGCACUCAAGGAGUGGAGGCACUUUCUGUUGGGAAAUCGUUGUGAAAUAUAUACGGACCAUAAGAGCCUUAAAUAUAUUUUCACACAGCCAGAGCUAAAUUUACGCCAACGACGCUGGUUGGAAUUGGUCAAGGACUAUGAUGUCGGCAUUCACUACCAUCCAGGGAAAGCAAAUGUAGUGGCUGAUGCCCUUAGUCGGAACCCCAGCCAGGACAACGACGGUCCACAAAACUUGAGGCCUGAGUUUUAGCAAGAGUUCGCUAGACUCAACAUGGUGUUAGUCUCUGAGGGCACCGUAUCAAAUCUGGAGAUACAACCCACCCUAGUGGAACAAAUUAAGAAGGCUCAGCAGGGACAUCCCAGCAUCGAAGGUAUAAAGAAGAAAAUGAACCUGGGUAAGGCCUCCGAGUUCAUCACAGACAGUGAAGGAAUAUUAUGGUACGGAGACAGACUUUGCGUACCUAACAUUGAGGAACUCAAGCAACAAAUCCUAACCGAAAGCCACACCGCUCCAUACUCGAUCCACCCUGGAGGAACCAAAAUGUACAAAGACAUUCAGGAGAGAUUUUGGUGGCACGGUAUGAAAAGGGAUAUAGCCGCAUUUAUUGCUUGUUGCGAUUCAUGUCAGCGCAUCAAGGCCGAGCAUCAAAAGCCAGCAGGGCUACUCCAGCCAGACAGGAUACCAGAGUGGAAAUGGGAUGAGAUAGGAAUGGACUUCAUCGUCGGACUACCUCGAUCACAACGCGGAAAUGACGCCAUAUGGGUCAUCACAGACCGACUAACCAAGGUUGCUCAUUUCAUUCCCGUGAAGACUACCUAUUCCACACAAAGGCUGGCCAAGAUUUAUCUCUCACGUAUAGUUUGUUUGCAUGGAGUCCCAAAGACUAUAAUAUCCGACCGAGGCAUUCAAUUUGUCUCUAAAUUCUGGGAUCACUUACAACAAGCCCUGGGCACGCAACUAGCUUUCAGUACAGCGUACCACCCUCAGACUGAUGGACAAACGGAACGUGUGAACCAAAUCCUAGAGGACAUGCUGAGAGCCUGUGUGCUCACCUAUGGAUCCAGUUGGGAAGAAAGUUUGCCAUACGCCGAGUUUGCUUACAACAACAGUUACCAAGCCAGCUUACAAAUGGCACCAUUUGAAGCAUUGUACGGGCGGAGGUGUCGUACCCCACUGAAUUGGUCAGAGACAGGUGACAGUCGUAUCUUCGGCCCAGACAUGCUCGAGGAGGCCGAGGAGAAAGUUAAACAGAUCAGGGACAGACUCAAGACAGCACAAAGCCGACAGAAGAGCUAUUACGAUCAAAAACAUCGUGAGGUCAGCUUUGAACCCGGUGAUUUCGUAUAUCUCCGAGUGUCUCCUAUGAGGGGUCUGCAACGGUUCAAAAUUAAGGGGAAGCUAGCCCCAAGGUUUAUUGGACCAUUCUGUAUAAUUGCACGAAGAGGCACAGUGGCCUACAAACUAGAUCUACCCAAGGAGCUGUCAGACGUCCAUGACGUGUUCCACGUCUCACAAUUGAGAAAAUGUGUAAGUAACCUGGAGAAGCAUGUACCUCAUGAAAGCAUUGAUGUGCAACUGGACCUCACCUACAGAGAGCGGCCAGUAAAGAUACUGGAAGAGUCUGAACGGAGGACCCGUCAGAAAACGACAAAAAUUUUCAAGGUCCAGUGGAGCAACCACACUGAGGAUGAAGCUACAUGGGAAAGGGAAGAUUUUCUUCAGGCAGGAUAUCCAUAUCUAUUUGAGGAUCAGCUGAAAUCUCGAGGACGAGAUUUUUCCUAAGGGGGUAGGUGUUGUGACACGCAAAAUUUUAUUUGGCUUUUUCAAAAAAAAUUAUUUGACUUGAGGGAGGUGAUUUAAAUUUUUCUUCAAGAGAACCCUCCCUCUCAAAAUAUUUUUCCUUUAUGGCAAGUGCUUUGUUUUGGAUUCACCCAAGGUUUGGUUCUUGGUCUUGGAGGUUUUUCCUUUUAUUUGGAGUCAAAACCAAAAUGCUUUUCACUUGGAAAAAAAAUGUCUUUUGAAAAUUCCUUUGAAAAGCCCUAUAGCUUUUGGAAAGAUCCUUUUCCACUUUCAAAAAAAAUCUCUCUUGCCAUGACCUUAGUGCAAAUCCACUCUCAUAAGCCUUUCCUCAUCUUUGGAUCAUGAUGUACUUCAAAUCCAGCAAGUUGAACCUCUCCAUAUAAAUAUUUCCAUUUAUUUCUUAUCAAAAACAAUUUCUGCCUUCUAUUCUAGCUCUUGAAGAUUUACAAAGGAGCUACCCUUUCUGUUUUGAUUUUUGCCCCCAAACCAAUUUCCCUAGCUAGUCCUUUGAACCCUCAACCAAGAUCCAUGAAGAUCCACUGGUCUUCAGUUCAAAUUUUUCAAACUACACUUGCUGCAAGUUUGGACCAGAUUUGUCAAAUUUGAUGAAAUUCAUUCAAAUCCUUCUCCUAAAAAUCUGAGAAAAAUCAGGCAGCCUCUGGGUGCAUUGAGAGGUCACCUCACCAAGUCCCAGCUCCAGGAAAAAUCUUUUGCUUGCCAAAUCAUUUUAUCGAACACCUGCUGGACACUGUUCCUAUAAUGUUCAGUCAAGUUCAGUUAACAGUGUCUGAAACUACUGUCGUUUCUUCAGUGUCCAUUGUCGAUCUCGCCAGUGCCCCGGCGUCGCCGUGCUUCCUGUCCCCUCCCCCUUGUCCUCUGCACCGCACGAGCGCCUGGAAGGUUGCGGGUGUCGGCGACGAGCAGGAGAAGGUGCGCCGCCCCGUGACCGACGCCAGCGGCGGCUUUGCGGCCGCCAGGGAGAAGCACAGCGUAGACGGCGCCGACCAGCGCCGCCCAAGCCAGCGGAGGUCGCGGCGUGGUCUUGCACUCCCCAGUGCGCGCUGCCACCCUCGUCGUGAACCGCUGGGCGCGGAGCGCGCUCUCUCCCGCCGCCGUGCCCGUACGGUCACCCCGCCGUGGACCGGCGCCAUUACACCAAGACCGACCAGGAUUAGCGGGGGAACGGCACCAGUACACCUCACUGAUGCUACCUGGCCACUGAAACUCCUUGACAAGCCACUGCCUUGCCGUAAUUGCUCGCCGGAGUGAUCCCGUUCACGGCCACCCCCUCGAGCCGCAUAUAAAUAGAGGCCCCGAGCUCCACCUCGAACCCCCACCACCUCUGCACACCUCCAACACCCCGCCUAGCCACUGGAAGAGCCCCGAGGGAGUCUCCUUCCUCAACUCCGGCCGCCGCGACCCGCCACGGGAUCCAGCUCGAUUCGCUCCCCACCCACUGGAGUUCCCCACCAUCGCCCGAGCCGCCGUCCGCCGGAGAAAGUGUCGCCGUCGACGUGGUGCUCUCCGACGACCAAGUCCACCACCCACCGACGCGGAAGGACGCACUGAACCUCUUGGUUCCGGAAUAGGUGACGGAGCCGCGAACUUCGCCGAGCUAGACUCCGACUUCUCCGAACCAGGCAAGCAUGUUUGAACCUUUGAUAUGAUAGGUGUUUUGCAUGUUUGCGUGAAAGGUUGUGCAUGACAUAUGAGCAACGGUGAGUAUCUCGUUGCAUGUGCGGCAACAACCCGUGUGUUCCGAAGUUACUGUGAUCUCUGAUGAGAGAUGGCCUAGUCAUGUGGUGACAUGAAGGGCAGUAAGGUGGUACUGUUGUAGCAUGCCAGCCUUACGUCAUCCGAUAAAUCCCGACGUUAACGUGGACGGAGUCACAUUAUCGUUCUUCCCCCUUCCGUGCUACCACAUGUUUUCUGCCAGAAUGCGGUUUAGUAAGUUGGUAACCUCUUUCCGUGUACACACCAAAUAGAGGGGCCGGGAUGAGGGUUCCAUGGCCCUGGAUUAAAGCCAGUCAUCCGGUUAGGGGGCAUGGGUGUUUCCGGUUGGGACCGAGAGGGGGGCACCCCUUAGAGCGCGCGUAUAUAAAUUUGAUCCCAUGCUACGCGAGGUUGUAGCCUCCCCGUCUCAAGGUUUUUCUUGAACGUUGCCGAGGGUGAUCCCUGGCUUCGGAAUGUUGAAUGGGUGUGUACUGGUUAGAUGUGUUUCUUCCAAAACACCGUAAACGGAACUAGUCCCCGUGACUACUGAAAUCCGUUGGCUGUGGUUUAAGUACAAACUGUGCAGAGUCAAAUCCUUCCGAGUCAUCAUAUCCAUGGUCAAGGACCGUGAUUAUUGAACCCAUAUCUAUGUCAAGUCCUCGUGGUAUUAUCCCCGGUAAACAAACUUGAGUGGUAAACUUGGUUAAACAUUAUUCCUGUGGAUGAACUAACCCUGUUGUUUACCUCAUGCCUGAGUAUUCUCUUGAUAUGAUUUAAAUUCAUGAGCUACUAAGUUAUGAAUAUAAGCCCUUUAUGUGAUGUCGCUCAGACGUCCGACUGUGGCAUGUUUGUCGUUUACUUUCAAUAUAAGCCCUUUAUGUGAUGUCGCUCAGACGUCCGACUGUGGCAUGUUUGUCUUUUAUUUUCAAUAUAAGCCCUUUAUGCGAUGUCGCUCAGACGUCCGACUGUGGCAUGUUUGUCUUUUACUUUCAAUAUAAGCCCUUUAUGUGAUGUCGCUCAGACGUCCGACUGUGGCACGCACUGUCUUUUAUUUUCUAUUAUAAGCCCUUUUUGUGGUGUCGCCCUGACGCCCGACUGCGGCAUUGUUAUUCUUGCAUUUUCCUCUCGAGGAGUCAUUCAGACCCUCGUUUGGCACCCAGUAUUUAUUUUGGGAUUUUGGGAGGACUACCGCCCGACUUCUCUUUUAUUUCCCGUGCAUUAUUAUCUCUAUGUCUGAGUGCACUUGUUAAUCUGUUCAUAUGCAUCAUGUUUACAUUUGUUAUAUCUUAUGUCCGAACUGUCUUGCGAGUACUUUCAUAGUACUCACCUGGCUUGUUGAUUUGGCCAGAUGUUGACGAAGGCGAUCUCAUGGAUGAAGAGUUUGAUAGUGAGUCCGACGCCUAGAGGAGUCCCAGUCAGUCCCGUGCGAUCCUGGAUAUUGGUCACUUGUAUUAUAUAUGCUUUCGCCACCCGCAAUAAGUCUCCUCUAGCCUCACUCCGACGCUCGAAGAGUUUUUAGUUUUCAGGAGUCAUAUCACCCACAUCGCGGUGAUAUUCCCACCACCACUCCUAUCGUGAGUUAGUAGUUAUGCCACCCUAUCCGCCGUUAUGUUUUAUCGGCGUGCUUGUAAUAAAUUGUUGAGCAGUCUCCGCUCAACUUUGUAUUAUAUUCAGUACUCCUGGUAUUUUUCUUCUGUGACCAAGAUAUUGUCUACCAGUGAAAAGAAAUUCUUCUUUACUGGUCCGUAAAAGGGAUUGGUCUCUCAAUAAAUAUUUUUAUUGAAAAACCGGUCGUGACAAUGAUUAUCAUGCACGUGGGUAUUGUGGCUUGCCUGGGGGUGAAGAAAUCACCGGGAAGAAGUGCAGUGAAGCCGCGGAAAGAUUUGCCGGAAACAGUUCUCUCUCGGAGGGGCUGUUUACGUGCAAGGGCAAAAAGGUCAUUUUCACAGUGUCAAACCAUAGUGAAAAUGAAACCAACAGAACGGGCUCGACGAACCGAAGAUGUGGGCUUUGGAAUCACCUCAUUUGGAGUUGUGGUUAAAAAGAUAUGAAGGGUUGAAGUUCAGGCACUUUUUCUGCAAAAAUAUCACCACAAACAAGUCCCUGAGUGGAUAAGGCAGAAACGCAAAGUUAGAAAUAUGCUUCCUGACUAAGAAAACGCAUUUUGGGCUGAAACCGAGAGGAAAUACGCUUUCAGUAAAAGAAAGCAUACUUUGAGCUGAAGCAGAGGGAAAAUACGCUUUCUGGAAACGAAAACGUACUCACAAGAUUACGCCUCCACUUAAUCCAGUCAGCAGGGGCGGGGCCCGGCCUAGUCUCGUUGACACGCGGGGCCCGCGGCCAGCUGGCAGGGAGGGGGUCAUCUCCUUCUUCUACUCGCUCUCGCCCGCGCCUGGCCGAGGCAGAGCCGGCCCCGACGACGAUUGUCGGCGGCACAGGUCACCUCAGACGGCGCCCGACCUACCAGCGGGUUCAGGAGACAGAGGCGCGCAAGCCCAUGUAGGUCUCGACCGUCGUGGAGCUUGGGGAAGAGCGGAACGUCGACCGCAACGGAGCAUGCCGUCGGCCACCGGUGGGCUCAUGGCUACAAGCCACUGGAGGAGGAGAGGUGACGAGGUGGUUCCGUAGUGGUGGUGGAGGCCUCGGGAAGUGGUGGAGCGGAGGGAGAAGGUCAGGGUCGCCGGAAUCGGAGGGACCCGAAGCGGCGAUGGAAGAGCAGGGGAGCAGCUUGAGCUCAAACGAGAGGUUGGGGAGGUUUCUGGGAGUGGUGCGAGGCUGCUAGUGAGCUCGGAGGCGCUCGGUGUGGGCUUAUAUAGCCGCAGGGCAAGGUGUCGCGCUGUCGUCGCCGUGGACGCGUGGCCGGCGCCGCGGACGCAUGUGCGCGCGCAUGAGCUCGGGGAAGGCGACGGAGAGGGAACGGACGAGGGGCAGGGCUCACGGAGACGAGGCCGAGCUCGUGGACAAGAGGAGAAGAGGCCGAACGCCAUAAAUGCCCGGUCGGCUAUAGGCUUCCCAUGGGCGCGUGGCGACGAGAGCGGAUGGAGGGGCUGACGGAGGGGAAGAGGGCUCCAGGAGGACGGCGACGACGCAAGCUAGCUGUUGGACAAGCUCACGAGCGCGAAGGCGAUGAGAGGGAGAGGGGCCCGAGCAAGAAGCCAUUCUGGACGCGGCCAACGCCAACGAGCGCGCGCAUUGCAUGCCAAAGCUCGUGAUCACUGCGUGCACUGGUGCACACAGUGGCACACGGCCGGCCAAACAAUGUCUGGGGUGGAGUCCUUCCUGGGGAGGUUGCAACUAUUGUGGUAGAUUGGUUAAAAGAGCUUUGGUUGAAAGGUAAUUAACCUCUGAAGUUUACUGCAGUAAACUUGAUCGUGUACUGCUGCUGAACAGGGAGGUGAUUGGUGACAAUGGAGUUGUCUGCGAGGUUGAGGUAAAGAAGGACUUACAUCCUGGUAACUAUGGAGGGGUUUGGAUCAAGAUUUAACAGAGUUGCUUUGCAACUACCAAAUAUGGUCCAGAAUCAAGAUUUGGAUGAUGCACUCACAUGGAGUUAUGGAGUGGGAUGCAACUUGGCAAAUCCUCAUGAGAUGGACAUAUAAAGAUGCUGUAGAAAGCUCAUACCAAAUGGACAAUACAAAAUGGUACUUGCUUUACAAACAUCAUUUCUGUCCAGAAACUUGGAAAAAUUCUAGAGGAAUAAUGGCUUGAUGAACCAUGCCCAAAAUGGGUGGAGGUAAGUUAUAUGGAUAAUAUAAGGCCUAAAAAAAUUGACAACCAUAACGGAGCAAGAUAAAAUAUACUUGCUUCACAAACUGAAAUUUUGGACAGAAUCAAAGAAUUGAAGAUGAGCUCACAUGGAGGCAGGAAAUGAGCUCUACUCUGGUGGAGGGCUAUGAUAUGAUGAUAUGAGGGAGCAUGCAAAAUGGCAACUCAUUUAGAUAUGCCUAGCUUGCACCUCCUUCACAAAGCUUCUUUCUGGACAGAAACUUUGGAAAAUCAUAAUUAAAUAAUUACUUGGAAAAUGAGGUUGCAUUUUGGCAUGUGGCAAUGAUAUGGACAGGAAAAGGUGUCCAAGGAGUCUGAGGUCAAUUCGGAAAAGGAAAAUAGCACUUGCUUCACAAUGUGCCAUUUAUGGCAGAAUAGGAAAUGAAUUAUUUGAGCAUGAUGAUAAACAUGAAAAAUUAAAUAUUUUGUGAUAUUUGAGAAAGAUAUGACCCAAACAAUAUAUGAGAAUUAUUUGGGAAUUUUAGGAGUGAUGGAAAUAAAGGUUGCUUCACAACCUAGGGCAAUUUGAGUUAUUCCUUUAAUAGAAAAGGAAUGUUCCCAAUAAAAAGAAUAUUGGUAUUUGGGCUAGGAUGAAAAUGACAGGGUCUAGGGAAGGGUUUGGGAAUGACAAGCCACUCUGUAAACAAAGAAGAGGGCAUCUUCUUCAGUUUCCAGACCACAAAACCACGGAAAAAAGAAAACUCAAGCAAAAACCUCAGAAAAAGAAAAGAAAAAGAAAGGGCCAAAAAUCAGGCUGUCACAUGUAAUGAACUCAUUAUUUAUUUAUAUUGGUGUUAAACCUACUGUAUUCCAACUUCUCUAUGGUUUAUAAACUAUUUUACUAGCCAUAGAUUCAUUAAAAUAAGCAAACAACACACGAAAAACAGAAUCUGUCAAAAACAGAACAGUCUGUAGUAAUCUGUAACUAACGCAAACUUCUAGAACUCCAAAAAUUCAGCCAAACUAGUACGACCUAUAAAUUUUUUUUAUUGAUCAGCAGCAAUUGGAAUCAAUAUUUUAUCAUGUUCUGGUGAUUUUUAACAAUUAUUUUCGUGAACAGAAAGUUUCUGGAAUUUUCAGCAAGAUCAAAUAACUAUCAUCCAAGAAGAUCCUAUAGGUUUAACUUUUCACAAACACUAAGUAAAACAUAAAAACACAUCUAGCCCGAGGCUAGAUCAAAUAUUGAUUCCUAAACAGAAGCAAAAAGCAAAAAACUAAAAAUAAAAUUGGGUUGCCUCCCAACAAGCGCUAUCGUUUAACGCCCCUAGCUAGGCAUAAUAGCAAGGAUAGAUCUAAGUGUUGCCAUCUUUAGUUUUAGGGAAGAAAAGAGCAAACUUGUUAUCUAUAG